This 255-nucleotide ribosomal RNA is filed under the name uncultured bacterium. RNAcentral's name for it is "partial 16S ribosomal RNA". It matches the Rfam family "Bacterial small subunit ribosomal RNA", at positions 524 to 777 of the family's 1533-position model. The record is from RNAcentral.
UACAGAGGUGGCAAGCGUUUGUUCGGAAUUACUGGGCGUAAAGGGCGCGUAGGCGGCCUUCUAAGUCAGACGUGAAAUCCCCCGGCUUAACCUGGGAACUGCGUCUGAUACUGGAGGGCUUGAGUAUGGGAGAGGGAUGUAGAAUUCCAGGUGUAGCGGUGAAAUGCGUAGAUAUCUGGAGGAAUACCGGUAGCGAAGGCGGCAUCCUGGACCAUUACUGACGCUGAGGCGCGAAAGCUAGGGGAGCAAACGGGG